This 255-nucleotide ribosomal RNA is filed under the name uncultured bacterium. RNAcentral describes it as "partial 16S ribosomal RNA". It matches the Rfam family "Bacterial small subunit ribosomal RNA", at positions 524 to 776 of the family's 1533-position model. The record is from RNAcentral.
UACGGAGGAUCCAAGCGUUAUCCGGAAUCAUUGGGUUUAAAGGGUCCGUAGGCGGUUUGGUAAGUCAGUGGUGAAAGCCCAUCGCUCAACGGUGGAACGGCCAUUGAUACUGCCAGACUUGAAUUAUUAGGAAGUAACUAGAAUAUGUAGUGUAGCGGUGAAAUGCUUAGAGAUUACAUGGAAUACCAAUUGCGAAGGCAGGUUACUACUAAUGGAUUGAACGCUGAUGGACGAAAGCCGUGGGUAGCGAACAGG